Molecule: long non-coding RNA, 1481 nt
Filed under: Ananas comosus (pineapple)
Lineage: Eukaryota; Viridiplantae; Streptophyta; Magnoliopsida; Poales; Bromeliaceae
Description: long non-coding RNA (ACOM_LNC007918)
Source: RNAcentral
UAAUAAGACAUUCGAUUUGACAAUCGACUCCGUUAGGCAUUUGAUUUGCCAAUCGACUCCAUUAGACUUAGACAUGAUCUAUGUUAUUAGAAUUAUUCAGAAAUUAAAUUUUAUGAUUUUUUAAUUUUAUUUGCUUCUUUUUAAUAGCGUAGAUCGUUUCUAACGGAAGUUGAUCGUCGAAUCGGAUGUCCCAUCAUAAAAAACAACUAACAAGUACAGAGGCCUCUGUACUUUCAAAAGCUUAGAAGACGUACUCUCUCUCUCUCUCUCUCUCUCUCUCUCUCUCUCUCUCUCUCUCUAUAUAUAUAUAUAUAUAUAUAUAUAUAUAUAUAUAUAUAUAUAUCCAAUAUUAAUUUAGUCAUUUAUUUUUCUUUCUAACAUUCACUUAGGUCGCGAGUACCAUUGUUGUUUCUUUUGCACGCGGACUCCAUCUGGUACCAUUUGAGGCAACAAGCGAGUUCAUGCACCGAAAUCAUACGGCAAGGUAGUUCGGGGUAUACAUUUAGGUUGAUAGGAGCCUACCAAUUACUCAGGUAGAUAGGAGUAGAUAUGUCUAAACAGCUAAUUAAUUAAGUUACUGCUACCAAUUAGUAUCCGAGAUUCAAAGUUCGAAUUUUAGUUGAUUUAUAUUUUCAGCUAAGUUUAUUUCUAAAUGAAAUAAAUAAAACGAUUAGUAUGCUAUUUAUCUCUAAAAAAAAAAGUUACUGUAAGUUAGUUUCAAUAUCAUUAUUAUGCAGGAGCUCUCUCCAAGAUAUUUUGAGAAAUACUUUUGAGUUAUUGCUAUUUAAAAGAAUAUCUAUUUAUAUUCGUGGGUAGCAUUCUAUUUAUCUUUAAAAAAAAAAAAAUACUGUUGGUUAGUUUCAAUAUCAUUAUUUUGCAGGAGCCCACUCUCCAAGAUAUUUUGAGAAAUAUUUUGAGUUAUUGCUAUUUAAGAGAGUAUCUAUUUAUAUUCGUCCUGAAUAGACGAGGGUAGAAUACGAGCUGAAAUUGAUUAGAUUUGUUGGACGGAAUGAAAUUAAUGUGGCUGUUUAGAAUUUAGAUAAAUUUUUAAUAAUAUAGUUUGAUGAGAAUAAAUAUAACGUUACUAGUGAAAAGAGAAAAAAAAAAAAGGACAAAAUUUACGUCAGUGUCAUGUACAGAGUGUGAGUUGCUGAAUCACAUUGCAGAGAUUUUUCUUAUAUCGCAGAGAGAUGUCGACGUUAAAGUCGACACAAACAUCUAAAACCUAGGCGUAUUCUCUUGAAAUAAUAAUAAAAAAAUCAUUUAAAUCUAAAUUAUAUUUAUCCAACAUAAAUGCUGCAUAUUUUUCCAAUAUCAUUUUGAAAAACUUAGAAACUUGAGUAUCUGUGCAUCCAAAAAUCUUAUUUUAUGAUUUUGUUGCCUCCAGUAGACAUUGAACUCAUUGAAAUCAGAUAAUAGCUUUGCCAUUCCAUUUUGUAGCUUAGGAGUGUUUUUUUCCUUUCUUUUCCUUUUUUUUUUCU